AGGCAAGGCCAAGGCUUCUUGAAAGGCUGGUCAUGCCCCAGUGAUCAAUGAAGAACUCAGGGAUAUCCCAAAACUCAGGACUAUAAGGCACAAUGGGGGAGCAGGUACCAGGUGGCCAGCAUCCUAAAUGACUCUCAGCAGCUGCAGAGAAGUAUAGAAUGCUGGGGCCCUUCCAUUACUCCAUGCACUGGGGAAGAACUAGAAUUGUGAGAAGAGCUUUCACGCUCCCAUAACCAUUCCUUGGCCCACCUCCAAGAAAAGGCAGGCUGGCCUCUGUUUAGGUGUUGUCUGUGCUUGCAUUCCCAACGUUGACAUGAGGAAUUAUCAAUGGGUUCCGGACAUAAUCAGCCACACGGCAGAGUGAAUUCCAGGAGUGUAAAUAACAAGAGCUGCCUAUAAAUCUACCUCAGAAGACAAAGGGAAAAGCAAAACUCUGCCCAGGAAGACCUUACUUUACAAACCAGGUGACCAAAUUUCUAAAACAUCAUUCCCGUAAUCCCUGAUCAACAGAAAGGAAGCUCUGGAAGCAUGAAUGCUCAACCAUAUUUACCAGCCUUCCUGUGGUCAUUUGUCUGAGCUCCAGCUAGUGAAGUAUGAGUAGAACGGACAUGCACCACUUCCAGACCUGGCACCGGCAAACCCCCCAUGGCAACCCUCCAACCCUUUCCUCAACAACUGGACCACGCUGGAAAGGACUGAGGAUCUAGAGGAGGACAGGGCUGUAAUAUGGAAGGAGUUUGGUUUCUGAAGGACCAUGUAGCAGGCCACCUGCAGGGCGGGAACAUCUUUAAUAGGUUUGGAAUAGCAAGAAAUAAACUGGUCUUGUAUUAAACAACUAAUU
This 841-nucleotide long non-coding RNA is filed under the name Homo sapiens (human). RNAcentral's name for it is "HSALNT0297016". The record is from RNAcentral. Lineage: Eukaryota; Metazoa; Chordata; Mammalia; Primates; Hominidae.